GACAGCUUGGUGCAUAUGAAUGUAAACCUUGUACAAGGACCGUUAAUACCAUUCGAAGUAUUUUUUAUUUUUCUAAGAUUUAUUAAUUAUGUGUCACUGCCUACCCUUCAAAUUACACAAGAUGCUCCGACAAAAUUCAAAGACCUUCAAAGUGCUCCAUCAGAAAAAGGUUUGGGAAACCCUGAUAUACAGUAUAUAACUAUUAAUUUUUUAAUAUUUCAGUGGAAUAGUUAAUGCAGAUUUUUGAUAAUAGCUAAAAACAUUCUUAUUAAGAAAAAAAAUUGAAUUUUUUUAUAUUGCUCUAUGAUCUUAAAUUUGAAUAUUUUCAGAUGGGUUUUCUUAAAUAC
This 347-nucleotide long non-coding RNA is filed under the name Androctonus crassicauda. The record is from RNAcentral. Lineage: Eukaryota; Metazoa; Arthropoda; Arachnida; Scorpiones; Buthidae.